This 1119-nucleotide ribosomal RNA is filed under the name Triticum aestivum (bread wheat). RNAcentral describes it as "partial small subunit ribosomal RNA". Lineage: Eukaryota; Viridiplantae; Streptophyta; Magnoliopsida; Poales; Poaceae. The record is from RNAcentral.
AUGACAUACAUAGUGGAGCUGAACCUACUAGCUUGCUCGUGUCAAAGAUGGCAGCUAACUGGUAUUCCAUGUAGCCACUCCAUAGCAUGCUUGAGAUCUGAGAGGAUUAAACCCGAGCAGAUGGUUAACAACUGUUAUUCACUAAAUUCCUAUAUGCAAGCAUAUGGUGCAAAUAUCAUGCCCCUGAGAGACCAGACAGAGUGGCAGCAAGUAAAUGGGCCAACAGUUUUGCCUCCAUCUUAUGAGAAGAAAGUAGGCAGACCACCUAAAAGCAGAAGAAAGGCUCCUGAGGAAAAAGCAGAUGGGACAAAAUUGAGCAAGCAUGGAGUGACAAUACAUUGUGGUUACUGUAGACGCCCUAACCAUAACAGGAUUGGGUGUCCUAGACUGAAAGCCAUUGCACAGGCUAAAGCAGUAGCUCAGAGGCAUGCACAGGAACAACCUCAAGUUGAUGAACAAGAACAAGCUGAGGGUGCUGCACAAGAACAUGCUCAAGGGGAUGAAACACAACCAGCAGCAAGACAAAGGAGGAAAAGGAGGAGAACAGUGCAUGAGCAAGUGGACAUGUCAUCUCUUAAUAUUAAUAGAGGGCCCACAACAGUAGAUGAAAAUGGAGAUGCAGACAUACCAGAAAUACUUCAGCAUAUUGAAGAGGUUCAACUGGAUCCUAGGCUAGAUCCAUUGAAUGUCAGAUCAAGUAUGGUUUCACAGCUAGGGCAACAGGCACCAACUUUUCAGAUAGAAGAAGACACUCCUAUCCCAACAAAGUGUGCAUUUGUUGCUGCUAACAGAUCUUCCAUACCUGCAGCUAGGGUCACAACUGUAACAACAGAAGGUGCUGUUGCAUUAAGAGGUAGGGGGAGAAAUAGAUCUGGGGGGAGGAGAGUUGCUGCUACAGCAGCUGCUGUUGUAAAUGUUGCUGCUAUUUAUGCUAGCACUAGCACAACUAGAGGAAGAGAAGCUGGAGCAAGAGGGAGAGGCAGAGGGGCUGGAGCAAGAGGGAGAGGAGCUGGAGCCAGAGGGAUAGGAGCUGCAGCAAGAGGCUGGGAAAAUUUGUUGUUUGGUCCUACUGAAAUGAACACCACUCAAAGUGCACCAUUUGACAUGUCACAGGAGUAA